UCCCACACACGCUCUCUCUUACUCUCUGUCUCUUUCUCUCUACACGCUCUCUUCGGCUCUCCAUUUAAUCAACGGCACCGACGAAAUCAAAUUCAACGGUACCGACAAUAUCAACGACUGUUCUUCAUCAGAUAGGCCCCCCCUCUCUCUCUCUCUCUCUCUCUCUCUCCCUGUCUAAUCUUCUAUGACGACUUAGGGUUUUGUUUUUAGUGUGAAAAAUCAGUGGCACUACUAUUUUAGUGUUAAAAACUUAGUUUAAAAAAUAAUUGACUGGGUUUGUUCUCUCAUGGUCAAACAGCCGAUUGUUAUUUACUGGGUUUGUAAUAUUUUGAAUGCUCUGUGAUUGUUCUUAAAAUUUAAGUAGAUCUUAGAAAGAAUAUUAUGAUGGAAUAAUUAAAUGAUAAUGAGGUUUGCACUUUACAUUUGGUGCGAAAAUUAAGAGUGCCUAACAAAAUAUCAAAAACAGACCCAUUUGAUUUAUUCAUAGUGCGUUGAUUUCUGAAAAUUUGGUGUUCCUUUCUGUAUAUCAUUCAGCAUCACAUGGUAUUUUAUACUAUAAUUUAUAAGUUUAGUGUAAAUUGAGUAGUUUUAUCCAUUAAUACAUUUUUUGAGGAAUUGAGAAAUUAUUUAUUAUUUUUGAGAUUGUCCCCUAAAUUUUUGACCAAUCGGGUAUGUUUACUGGGGCUGAUUGCUGAGCUAUUUUAGGUUCGCGAAUGGAAUUCUUGUUUGAUUUUGGGAUCAUUUUGACUGCAGUGGGCAGCCUCCUUGGAAUGAAAUUAGAAGUUGACUGUAUAGGAAUUUGUCUCCAACAAGAGAAAGUUGCAGGCUGCAAGGUAGAGGAGAGAUAACAUUUCGUUAUGUGUUCUUCGCAAAAGACUUGUGUUAGAGAGAUUGUCAAGAGAAUCGGCUCAGGUUCCGAUAGACAGGUCGAGCGUCCUCCAAGUAGGCUAUCAACUCAGCGGAAGAUAUUGGUACACUCCAUUUGCUCCGGAGUUGGUUGUUUGGUUAGUAUCAUUUAGACAAGUAUUGAUUAGUAUGUCGGGGCCCUGUCUCGGCCUUAUGACAUUUAUGUACUCUUAGAGGCUUGUAGACAUAUGUCAUGUAUAUGAAAGAUUGUAUGGCCUUGUCGGCCUAUGUUCAAUAUACGAAUGAUUAUUUUGGCCAUAUAGGCCCGUACGCCAUACGUAUAAGUUUGGAUUA
This is a non-coding RNA of Nicotiana tabacum (common tobacco), 1200 nucleotides long. Lineage: Eukaryota; Viridiplantae; Streptophyta; Magnoliopsida; Solanales; Solanaceae. The record is from RefSeq and is a predicted model, not a curated record.